This 978-nucleotide ribosomal RNA is filed under the name Alcaligenes faecalis. RNAcentral describes it as "bacterial SSU rRNA". It matches the Rfam family "Bacterial small subunit ribosomal RNA", at positions 1 to 969 of the family's 1533-position model. Lineage: Bacteria; Pseudomonadati; Pseudomonadota; Betaproteobacteria; Burkholderiales; Alcaligenaceae. The record is from RNAcentral.
CCGUGGUAGGCUUUCCUGCAGUCGAACGGCCUCUUCAGAGACAGUCUGAGCCUUUCCAUGCAAGUCGAACGGCAGCGCGAGAGAGCUUGCUCUCUUGGCGGCGAGUGGCGGACGGGUGAGUAAUAUAUCGGAACGUGCCCAGUAGCGGGGGAUAACUACUCGAAAGAGUGGCUAAUACCGCAUACGCCCUACGGGGGAAAGGGGGGGAUCGCAAGACCUCUCACUAUUGGAGCGGCCGAUAUCGGAUUAGCUAGUUGGUGGGGUAAAGGCUCACCAAGGCAACGAUCCGUAGCUGGUUUGAGAGGACGACCAGCCACACUGGGACUGAGACACGGCCCAGACUCCUACGGGAGGCAGCAGUGGGGAAUUUUGGACAAUGGGGGAAACCCUGAUCCAGCCAUCCCGCGUGUAUGAUGAAGGCCUUCGGGUUGUAAAGUACUUUUGGCAGAGAAGAAAAGGUAUCUCCUAAUACGAGAUACUGCUGACGGUAUCUGCAGAAUAAGCACCGGCUAACUACGUGCCAGCAGCCGCGGUAAUACGUAGGGUGCAAGCGUUAAUCGGAAUUACUGGGCGUAAAGCGUGUGUAGGCGGUUCGGAAAGAAAGAUGUGAAAUCACCUUGGAACUGCAUUUUUAACUGCCGAGCUAGAGUAUGUCAGAGGGGGGUAGAAUUCCACGUGUAGCAUUGAAAUGCGUAAAUAUGUGGAGGAAUACCGAUGGCGAAGGCAGCCUCUCUGGGAUAAUACUGACGCUCACACACGAAAGCGUGGGGAGCAGAGCGGGUAUUACAUACCCUGGUAGUCCACGCCCUAAACGAUGUCAACUAGGCUGAUUGGGGUUGUUAGGUCUUUAGUAGCGCAGCUUACGACGUGAGCUGGACGACUGGAGGAGUACUGUCGCUAUGAAUAAACUCAAGGUACUGACGGGACCGUCAUAGCGUCGAUGAAUGUUGAAUAGAUUCGAAUUCUAUCGCGAUCAAA